This 492-nucleotide ribosomal RNA is filed under the name uncultured bacterium. RNAcentral's name for it is "partial 16S ribosomal RNA". It matches the Rfam family "Bacterial small subunit ribosomal RNA", at positions 29 to 507 of the family's 1533-position model. The record is from RNAcentral.
AGUGAACGCUGGCGGUAGGCCUAACACAUGCAAGUCGAACGGCAGCACAGUAAGAGCUUGCUCUUACGGGUGGCGAGUGGCGGACGGGUGAGGAAUGCAUCGGAAUCUACUUUUUCGUGGGGGAUAACGUAGGGAAACUUACGCUAAUACCGCAUACGACCUACGGGUGAAAGCAGGGGAUCUUCGGACCUUGCGCGAUUGAAUGAGCCGAUGUCGGAUUAGCUAGGUGGCGGGGUAAAGGCCCACCAAGGCGACGAUCCGUAGCUGGUCUGAGAGGAUGAUCAGCCACACUGGAACUGAGACACGGUCCAGACUCCUACGGGAGGCAGCAGUGGGGAAUAUUGGACAAUGGGCGCAAGCCUGAUCCAGCCAUACCGCGUGGGUGAAGAAGGCCUUCGGGUUGUAAAGCCCUUUUGUUGGGAAAGAAAAGCAGCAGGUUAAUACCCCGCUGUUCUGACGGUACCCAAAGAAUAAGCACCGGCUAACUUCGUG